Patella vulgata (common limpet) is the source of this 3720-nucleotide long non-coding RNA. RefSeq lists it as uncharacterized. NCBI's taxonomy places the organism in Eukaryota, Metazoa, Mollusca, Gastropoda, Patellidae. The record is from RefSeq and is a predicted model, not a curated record. The transcript has 3 exons.
UUUCCCUUAGAAGAAAAAUUGGAGUUUCCUGUUUAUUAAUAGACCAGUUGUGUACAGCGAAAUUUAAAGUUGCCAAAUUUUGGCUUGUAAUUAAAUAGAUUUUAAUAAAAUGGUGGAAUUUGGUUCGGGACCAGUGAAAGAAACAAUAGACAAUACUGUGUUUAUCAUACCUGGUAUAAUAAUAGCAAUUUUAGUAGGAUUUUUUACCUGGAAAUUGGUAGCAAGCCUUAGAAAUAAACAGAAAUUAAAAGACGAAAAAAAGAAGCUCAAACAACAAAAGAAAGAUAAAGAACUACAGAAAAAAAUUAAGAAAAAAUAAAUACUAGACCUAUUUAUUUGAGACUCUUUUCAAUUUAAAAUAUAUUGUUACAAAAUGGUUAUGGGAUUUGAAAUGGUAGCAGUUCAACAGGUAGACAAGAUCAAGGUGAUGGAUAAAUUUACAUAAAGAAGCCAAAAACUAAUUAAAAUAGGAAAUAAUCUUUACCUAUGUAUAUUAGUUAUUAGAGCAACUCCUGGCAAUUUGAGGAAUAAUUUACACAAGAUAAUUUAUAACAAAUGUUUGUUAAAGUUAUUUAUAUUUCUGUUGAUUCUUGAUUUAUUUUUAAGUUGGUAGAUUAUUUAACUUUGUAGAUUUCUGUUAAAAAUAAUAUUUAGUGAAUGUUCAAUGGAUACCUGUAUAACAUCAAGGCAAUAGCUACAAGCUUCUAUUUUUUUUAUUUUUUUUGAUCCAUCUAUUUAAAAAUAAGAUCACUUUUCAGAAUAACAAAGAUGAAUAUCAAUAUUCUGUCUUGUUCAUAGUUAUUUAUAUGACAAUCAGGAAGCUAAUGGAAGUCCACUGAAUGAGCAUAAUGCACAAGACAGAGAUAUUUGACUUUGAGAAUAAUAUUUAAGUUUAUUAUUGAAUUGAAAUCAUAGUAUGUAAAAAAUCAUUAUCAUUUUACCUCAUUAUCAUAUUCAUUUUGAAAUGUGAUAUCCUUAAGUCAGCACAACACAAUUUUACCAAAACAUUCUAGGCAAUCCAGAUCUCUUUGACCAUCUUAGACACAGGUUACGAUAAUCGUAAUCGCCUUCGUCACUUGUCUGCCACUUUCUCUAUUUUGAUGCAUCUUUGGAAAGGUUAUUAUUUAAUCCCACUGGUACAUUGUUAGGUUUUUAGCACUAUUUAUAGCAUGUGAAAGGAUGUUUUGGGGAUUCAGUAUUCUCAAAACGAUCAACAAAUAAUCCGUGGAUAAUGUAGAGAACAUGGGUUAUGUAGAAUUUGGGUCAUGCCCCUAGCCUUAAUGGGCAUUACUCAUUUUUGGAUGUUUGUACAUUGUAAAUACAUGUAUAUCAAAAUCUAUCCACUAGAAUGUUUCAAAUUUGUAAGGGCUGGAUCCCAGGAUGUUUGUUGCAAUGACUAAUUUAAUGAGGAUGGUUACCCAGAGGCCCUCAUUUUACUCAAAAUUGAAUAAAAACAUUUUCUACUGUAUAAUUUUAAUACACAGGUCAGAAUUCUAUGGUAUACAAUAACUGCUUAGUAAUUUUUUGACUAGGCUUUAUCAAGCAGUGGUCUAGUCAAAAUGUCGCUCAGUUAUAAGCAAUAAUUGUAUUCCAUAGAAUUGUGAACUGAAAGAAAUCUGAUAAUUUUAAGGUUAAAGACUUACUGUAAUUUCUAAUCCGUUAUGUGUGGCGAAAUGCUGGAAGAGUCAAAAUUAAAUGGCAGUCUUUGGCAUUUGGUUAUUUCAGUCUACACCGGUAGUAUUCUCCUGUGGGAUAUGUUUAGCCUCGUUCAUCGAGUCGCUUCAUUACAAAUGGUGCUCGAAAGCAUUCCGGCACACGAUUCGUGUGCCAAUUUUAAAAUUUUCAUUUUGUCUUAAAUAUUGGAUAUCAGAAGCCCAUGUUGUUGACCAAUAAGCUGUGUUUGCGUAAAAUAACAUCGAUAUUGUUGACCAAUAAGCUGUGUUUGCAAUGUCCAAGACUGUGGAUAAUAUAGAGUAGAGACCUGCCUCCUUUAAGUUUCAAAUUGUCAUACUUUUAAUUAAAAUGAAAAAUUAAUCAAAAAGAAUGUAAUCUAUAAAAAAAAAACCAAUAAUCAAAGGUAUUGUAAAUUGAUUUUAAAUUAUUUUUUUUUAAAAGUUGGUUUAACAUACAUUUGUGUUUACUAUCUUUUAAUUGUAACUGCUGCUAAUAUUAAAACACUGCUAAAUCACUGGUACUGCUUCUAAUAUAAUGUUAUAUAACACUGCUAGAUUUUGUGAGGCCCCUUCAGCUGUAGCUAGUAUAGGUAUGCCUAAACAGGGGCGGAUUGAGGAUUUUCAGAAGGGGGGGGCGUGCUGCCCCCACUUGGGAGUGCGAAGCUCGGCCCUCGGUGGGUGGACUGACAGGCAAUCAACCAAAUCACCAACCGGCUCUUUUCGGAGUAAAUUACGAUGGGGAUCACUACCAUUUUUAAGUAUUUUUGUUCUCCUUACCCGCAAAUUGUUCGCUACUGCAAAGGUGGGGGGGGGGGGGAUUCCCCCCUUGGAUCCGCGCCUGCUAAAUCUGUUCUUUAUUUUUGUUCAUCACUGAAAUGUCAAAUAAUGUAUGAUCAUUUGCACUUUUAUUAAAGUUAGAGAAUGGAAAUAAAAAAUAAUUGUAAAUCCUGCCAAUUCUUUUUGAGUGUCCUACUGAAAUCAAUUCAAGGGACACAACACCAAAAAGCAUAAUAUGAAUAUCAGUGAAAUGAACUGCAGGUUAACUUUCUACUUGUCUGGUUGAAUAUUCAGUACUAUCUAAGGAUUCAUUUUAAGGACCUUGUAUACCCUUCAGACACAAAUAGUUAUUUUUGGGAUCAACAUAUGCAAUUGUUCAAUUUAAUUUCAAUAAUUCGCUGGGACCUUAUGUGAGAGGAAACCAGAAGACCCAGAGAAAACCCAUGAUGCAAACAUUAAGAAACAUUUGUGCAUGCAAGAAAGGAUUGGGAGAUUCUCCAUUUCUAUUCUGGGGACAAAGUCCUCAAUAGCAGUACAUUUCUUUCGUGUAUUAAUUGGUUGAAUUACAUAAUGCUCAAGGAAUUCUACAUACUUAUUACAUCCAGGUGACAUUGAGAACAGGCACCAAGUCACUUUACAGAUACAAUUGUAAAAGAAAAGGCAGUUAUAUUUAUUUAUUUUUAUUAAGUAUUAAAAUGUAUGAAAGUAGCAGUAAUUAGUUACUGUACAGUAAAAUUAAUUAAUUUCAAAUAGUAUAUAUGUAUUGAUGUUGAAACUUCCACUAUUGGAUACUGAAUUCUUAAUGCCUUUUAUCAAAUUUCAUACCCAUUUCAAAACUCAGUUUCUCGCAACACCCCUGAGACAAUUCUAGAUUUAACCUUUCUUUUAAAAAUCUAAAAUAAUAGUUCGUAAAACAAAUGGGUUUAUUCUGACCAAUCCUCUUUAGACUAAAAUGAAAGAAACAAUUUCAUUUUUACUUUCAGGUAAUUAAUAAAAUAUGGGGUUAAGAAAUUUGAAAUACAUAUUUUAGAUUUUAAUCAUGUUAUUGGGCAUAAAGGACCAUAUUCACGAAAAAUAUGUCUUUAUUAUAAAUAUAAUGGGGGUUGUCAUUGUCUUCAUGGAGGUCAAUAUUUCUAAUUGCACAAACUAAUUAUGAUUGAUGUGUAAAUGAAUAUUUAAUAUUUGAUUAAGUUCUCCCAUACCUUAUUCAUGUAUGCCUUUAUGUUAAAUGUUGACCAUGAAAUAUUUUAAAAUAAAUUUUACCUUAAGA